GGAACACACACCAAAAGGAAAAGCCAGAAGGCAUAGAAAGAAAUAUGAUAAUUGCUGGGUCACACCCCAAAUGCCUACAAAACUUAAGGUAGGGCCAGGUCAGAAAGAAGCCCAGACUUCCAUUUGGUCUCCCACAUGGGUUGUAGGAAUCCAACUGAUUAAAACAUCAGCUGCUGCCUCCUAGUAAAGAAUGGGAACGAGGCUGUGAUAGACACCAAGGCAAGAGCCCAGUCAGCACCCUACUCAGAGGCACCAGUAGGGAGUUUCCUACAUGGGAUCAGAUCCAUAAACAAUAAACAUAAAUCAGUUGUCUGACUGCUAAAUAUAAAUCUUAGCAUUUUUCAACUGUGUGAGGAAGGACUCUGUGUAUGAUACACUGUCUUGUUAUUUUUCUCUUAGCUGGUGGUCAACUCAAAGAAAUGGAACCAGGCAAUGAGACACGACUUUCAACAUUUCUUCUCCUGGGAUUCUCAGAGGACCCAGCACUGCAGCCCCUCAUAUGUGGGCUCUUCCUCUCCAUGUACCUGGUCACUGUGGCUGGGAACCUGCUCAUCAUCCUGGCCAUCCUCUCAGACCCCCACCUCCACACGCCCAUGUACUUCUUCCUCUCCAACCUGUCCUUGGUGGACGUCUGCUUCUCCUCCACCACCGUCCCCAAGAUGCUGGUGAACAUCCAGACAUAGAGCAAAGCCAUCAGCUAUGCAGGCUGCGUCACCCAGAUGAUUUUUGUUAGAGUUGGACAACUUUCUCCUGGCCAUGAAUGCCUAUGUCUGGUUUGUGGCCAUCUGUCACCCCUGCACUACACGGUCAUCAUGAACCCCCGGCUCUGAGUGCAGCUGGUCCUGGUGUGCUGGGUCAUCAGUGUUCUGAGUUCCUUGUUGCAAAGCCUAAUGGUGCUGCAGCUGUCUUGCACACACGUGGAAAUCUCCCACUUCUUCUUUCUCAGGGCUGUGCCUGGAGCUCCAGCCCUCCGUGCACCUGCUCACCCUGGCCCGCUGGGGCCCACAGACGCUGCUGCUGCGCUUGGAGCACCAGUUUGCCAGUGGGGAGGACUCGGGCCGCAACUUGAGCUCCCCUGUGACCUUGGAUUUACAGAACCUGUUCUCCACCUUCACCAUCACCUGCCUGCAGGAGACCACGCUGGUGGCCAACCAGCCCCGGGCCAGCGCCUCCAGGCUCCAGUGGACCCCAGACACCGGCCCUGUACCGAACCCCACAGUGCCCAAACUGGACGCAGCUGCCAUCACGCUGCAGCCCAUGGAGACCCGCACAUUUGUGGCCUCGGUCCUGUGGAAAGAGGAUGCCUGGACCCAGGGGGAGACCACUUCCAAACUUGAACUCUCUGAUCCAGGGUGGUUCAGACUCUCCUCUUCUCCCCCUGCUGCUGCUGCCACCACCGCCCAUGAAAACCAUUAAAAUGGUGCUGCUAAGGCUCAGGUUGCCAAGGGACUGGUUCUGGUAUCUUUUGGAGGGAGAUAGAGUGCAUGGUCUAGAAAGAUCACCUAAGCCUAGCUUAGAUGUAUUUUUAAAGAUUUGUUAAUUCAUUUGAAAGGCAGAGUGACAGAGAAUGAGAGAGAGAGAGAGAGAGAGAGA
RNAcentral lists this long non-coding RNA (1593 nucleotides) under Oryctolagus cuniculus (rabbit). Its description in RNAcentral is "lncRNA (ENSOCUG00000035257.1)". The record is from RNAcentral. Lineage: Eukaryota; Metazoa; Chordata; Mammalia; Lagomorpha; Leporidae.